Molecule: long non-coding RNA, 1152 nt
Organism: Tribolium castaneum (red flour beetle)
Lineage: Eukaryota; Metazoa; Arthropoda; Insecta; Coleoptera; Tenebrionidae
Exons: 2
Source: RefSeq, a predicted model, not a curated record
UUCGUCAAUGUGGAUCUGCUGAGGCAACGUGAUUGGCUGAUACCGAUCACAUGACUUUCAAGAAAUUGUGAAUAAUCCACGUAAUUGUGCUAAAUUUAUUUUAAAUAUAGUUACUUGUUGUGACACAAGUUUUGCGUCCUGUAAUACUCCUAUAUUGGCUUAUUUUAGUUAAAUAAAAAAGCUGGAAUACGGGGGUUUGAAUUUGGGGCUAAUUGUUUUGUGUGGUUGUCGUCAUGGGGGUGAAAGUGGGAUACGCGCAUUGGCAACACGAGAGUAUAGGCCAGGGGGGUUUUGCACUCCCGGGGAGAUGAAAAGGGACGACCAAUGACGACUGCUUAUUUUAAAACAAGCGCGUAUUUAUUAGGGAUUUCAUUAAAUUAUAUUUUUUGACGUAACAAUGACAUCUACGCUUGCGCGCAGAUCGCUAAAAAGAUCGCGCCGAAAAUAUCGCGCCAAAAGUGUUGUUUUGUCACUCAUCGUUCAACGUGUUACCGGAAUUCGUUAGUGAGUCAAUUCCUGGUGUUGAGCGCCGACCAAAAAGAUAAGUAUCUCUUGUUUUGUUAAUAUAACCUCAUCUUUUUGAUUGGUGUUUCUUUCUAUUUUAAAGGCAUUGGUCUCUGGGCUGGAGUGACGGAUUUUUGAUUUCUACUACUCAAGCGAACUUUAGUCAUGGCUGGUUAUCGCAAAUAUUCCUGCAAAUACCCCGGAUGCACCAGUGGUUAUGUUCCCAACAAAGGACAUGCCAACAAGCAUUUCUUCACCUUCCCUAAGAAUCUAAAGCUUCACGAAUUGUGGAGGAAUGCCUGCAAAAUUGAGGAUCCUGUAAGUUCAAAAUUUUGGCGUUUUCUCGAUUUAGGGUAUUUCAGAAUUUACUUUUAAGUUUCUUAUUUGCGCUCGAGUGUGUCAGUGCACUGCAUGUACCUCCUCGUGGUCGUAGCGUGGGCAACUGUUUGCUGACAGACAAGGUAAAAGUCAUUGCAAAGAAGGCCUUAUUUUGUUUUAAGUCUGGAGCAGACAGGCAAAACAUGCCAACACUAACUGAUUUAAUUUUUUGAUAAUUUUUGUAUAAUUAAGAAAUAAUACAAUACUUUAAUUUUUUGAAAAAUUUAAUUUGUUAUGUUACUCAAGUGUACAAUAAAAAUGUUAACAAAA